RNAcentral lists this ribosomal RNA (28 nucleotides) under Pandora kondoiensis. RNAcentral describes it as "partial 25S ribosomal RNA". The record is from RNAcentral. Lineage: Eukaryota; Fungi; Entomophthoromycota; Entomophthoromycetes; Entomophthorales; Entomophthoraceae.
AUAAUAUUCAAAUCAAGCAAGGCUACCC